RNAcentral lists this ribosomal RNA (222 nucleotides) under Ditylum brightwellii. Its description in RNAcentral is "partial Bacterial small subunit ribosomal RNA". It matches the Rfam family "Bacterial small subunit ribosomal RNA", at positions 314 to 548 of the family's 1533-position model. Lineage: Eukaryota; Bacillariophyta; Thalassiosirophyceae; Lithodesmiales; Lithodesmiaceae. The record is from RNAcentral.
UGGGACUGAGACACGGCUCAGACUCCUACGGGAGGCAGCAGUGGGGAAUAUUGGACAAUGGGCGGAAGCCUGAUCCAGCAACGCCGCGUGAGGGAUGACGGCCUUCGGGUUGUAAACCUCUUUCAGCAGGGACGAAGCGCAAGUGACGGUACCUGCAGAAGAAGCACCGGCCAACUACGUGCCAGCAGCCGCGGUAAUACGUAGGGUGCGAGCGUUGUCCGG